GAUGAAGAACGCAGCGAAAUGCGAUAAGUAGUGUGAAUUGCAGAAUUCAGUGAAUCAUCGAAUCUUUGAACCCACAUUGCGCCCCUUGGUAUUCCAUGGGGCAUGCCUGUUCGAGCGUCAUUUGUACCUUCAAGCUCUGCUUGGUGUUGGGUGUUUGUCUCGCCUCUGCGUGUAGACUCGCCUUAAAACAAUUGGCAGCCGGCGUAUUGAUUUCGGAGCGCAGUACAUCUCGCGCUUUGCACUCAUAACGACGACGUCCAAAAGUACAUUUUUACACUCUUGACCUCGGAUCAGGUAGGGAUACCCGCUGAACUUAAGCAUAUCAAUAAGCGGAGGA
RNAcentral lists this unclassified non-coding RNA (337 nucleotides) under soil metagenome. RNAcentral describes it as "partial contains 5.8S ribosomal RNA, internal transcribed spacer 2, and large subunit ribosomal RNA". The stretch from base 1 to 120 matches the Rfam family "5.8S ribosomal RNA", at positions 35 to 154 of the family's 154-position model. The record is from RNAcentral.